UGGAGGAUGGUAAUGAUGUUUAGGAGAUCACAGCUGGGCAAAGGGUGAAAACAACGCUGGGAGGUCGAAAGGCUGCAGAACCCAUUACCCAUCUCCCGAUAGCCAUUCCGAUGGAAGGCCCUGACAAACGACUCCCUGCAAAGCCGGAUAAGCCCUCUGCAUCCAUCGGCUAAUGCCAGGCAAGGCGGGAAUGCGAUGAGGGCUGGCUGGAGGCAGGGCUGCCAGGAAGGGAGGGUCUGUGAAGUGCGAACACACUCACUGGUUUUGGGGAAAGGGUGAACAACCCAGUGAGCACUGCAUGUUAGGAACAGACACUGCCUCCCUAAGUGACUGACCCUCAAUAAAAACCUUGGACGCCGAAGCUCAGGUGAACUUUCCCAGCUGAACCUUGGACCCGGAGGCUCAGCUGUCGAGGAUGCCCUGAUGUCUGUUCUCACAUCACAUUGCGCUCCAAGUACCCCGGCUGCAACCAGAGCUCAGCAAACCGGGACCAGAGGGCACAUCCACCCUGCCUGCCCAUGUCAACAGAGUUGUGUGGGAGCCAGCCGGCCCCCAGGAAGACCCCAGAUCUUCCUGCCCCUGACCACAGCUCUGUCCCUGGAAGCAUAUGCUGCAGACACUUGCUCUGCUGCAGAUUUUCUGCACAACCCCUCCUCAUGGGGGAAGGUUUGGUACCUGAAUGAGGCCUCUUUUGACCUCUAUUCCUAUCACUAUUUUUGGUGACCUCAAUAUUUAUGAAGGUAAUAACUUGGUCUUUAAUCCAGACAAUUUUCACCUCC
Molecule: long non-coding RNA, 779 nt
Filed under: Homo sapiens (human)
Lineage: Eukaryota; Metazoa; Chordata; Mammalia; Primates; Hominidae
Description: HSALNT0355599
Source: RNAcentral